GUCUACGGCCAUGCUGCCCUGAACAAGCCUGAUCCUGUCUGAUUUCCAUAGCUAAGCAGGGUCGGGCCUGGUUAGUACUUGGAUGGGAGACCACCUAGAAAGACCAGGUGCUGUAGGCA
RNAcentral lists this ribosomal RNA (119 nucleotides) under Pteropus alecto (black flying fox). The record is from RNAcentral. Lineage: Eukaryota; Metazoa; Chordata; Mammalia; Chiroptera; Pteropodidae.